Molecule: ribosomal RNA, 727 nt
Filed under: Clostridioides difficile
Lineage: Bacteria; Bacillati; Bacillota; Clostridia; Peptostreptococcales; Peptostreptococcaceae
Description: partial 23S ribosomal RNA
Rfam family: Bacterial large subunit ribosomal RNA
Source: RNAcentral
UUUAACUGAGCGUUCAGUUACUUGACGUAGACCCGAAACCGGGCGACCUACCCAUGAGCAGGAUGAAGCGAAAGUAAAAUUUCGUGGAGGUCCGAACCCACGAGCGUUGAAAAGCUCGGGGAUGACUUGUGGGUAGCGGUGAAAUUCCAAUCGAGCCCGGAGAUAGCUGGUUCUCCCCGAAAUAGCUUUAGGGCUAGCCUCAAGGUGAGAGAUACGGAGGUAGAGCACUGAAUGUCCUAGGGGGUAUUGCACCUACCGAAGACUAUCAAACUCCGAAUGCCGUCAUCUUAUACUUGGGAGUCAGACUGUGGGUGAUAAGAUUCAUAGUCGAAAGGGCAACAGCCCAGAUCGUCAGCUAAGGUCCCUAAAUGUAAGUUAAGUGGUAAAGGAUGUGGGAUUGCACAGACAACCAGGAUGUUGGCUUAGAAGCAGCCACUCAUUCAAAGAGUGCGUAAUAGCUCACUGGUCGAGUGAUCCUGCGCCGAAGAUUUCCGGGGCUAAAACUUACUACCGAAGCUACGGCAUCAGUAAUGAUGGGUAGGGGAGCUUCCCAUACGGGUUGAAGCAUGACCGUAAGGACAUGUGGACAGUAUGGGAGUGAGAAUGUUGGCAUGAGUAGCGAGAUGUGGGUGAGAAUCCCACAGGCCGUAAACCCAAGGUUUCCAGGGGAAGGUUCGUCCGCCCUGGGUUAGUCGGGACCUAAGCUGAGGCCGAAAGGCGUAGGUGA